Molecule: ribosomal RNA, 301 nt
Filed under: uncultured bacterium
Lineage: Bacteria
Description: partial 16S ribosomal RNA
Rfam family: Bacterial small subunit ribosomal RNA
Source: RNAcentral
CAGCAGCCGCGGUAUACGAAGGGGGCUAACGUUGUUCGGAAUCACUGGGCGUAAAGGGUGCGUAGGCGGGAUCUUAAGUCAGGGGUGAAAUCCCGAGGCUCAACCUCGGAACUGCCUUUGAUACUGGGGUCCUUGAGUCCGGAAGAGGUGAGUGGAACUGCGAGUGUAGAGGUGAAAUUCGUAGAUAUUCGCAAGAACACCGGUGGCGAAGGCGGCUCACUGGGCCGACACUGACACUGAGAGACGAAAGCUAGGGGAGCAAAUGGGAUUAGAUACCCCCGUAGUCCCUGUCUCUUAUACA